This 164-nucleotide small nucleolar RNA is filed under the name Charadrius vociferus (killdeer). RNAcentral describes it as "Small Cajal body specific RNA 1". It matches the Rfam family "Small Cajal body specific RNA 1". Rfam says of the family: scaRNAs are a specific class of small nuclear RNAs which localise to the Cajal bodies and guide the modification of RNA polymerase II transcribed spliceosomal RNAs U1, U2, U4, U5 and U12. ACA35 belong to the H/ACA box class of guide RNAs as it has the predicted hairpin-hinge-hairpin-tail structure, conserved H/ACA-box motifs and is found associated with GAR1. It is predicted to guide pseudouridylation of the U2 spliceosomal snRNA at residue U89. Lineage: Eukaryota; Metazoa; Chordata; Aves; Charadriiformes; Charadriidae. The record is from Rfam by way of RNAcentral.
GAGCACUUGAUACUAACCGAGCCAUCUGUAUCCCAGGUCUUGUGCAGGUCUGAGGUACACCUUGUGAUUGCUGGGUCUGAAAAGUGCAACAUUAAAACAAGCCAUGAAGUGUUUAAGCUCAGUGUAUAAAGGAUAACACUGGGUUAUAACUCAGAGGCACAGAA